Molecule: ribosomal RNA, 497 nt
Filed under: uncultured bacterium
Lineage: Bacteria
Description: partial 16S ribosomal RNA
Rfam family: Bacterial small subunit ribosomal RNA
Source: RNAcentral
GAUGAACGCUGGCGGCGUGCCUAAUACAUGCAAGUCGAGCGAACAGACGAGGAGCUUGCUCCUUCGACGUUAGCGGCGGACGGGUGAGUAACACGUAGGUAACCUACCUAUAAGACUGGGAUAACUUCGUGAAACCGGAGCUAAUACCGGAUAAUAUUUCGAACCGCAUGGUUCGAUAGUUAAAGAUGGCUUUGCUAUCACUUAUAGAUGGACCUGCGCCGUAUUAGCUAGUUGGUAAGGUAACGGCUUACCAAGGCAACGAUACGUAGCCGACCUGAGAGGGUGAUCGGCCACACUGGAACUGAGACACGGUCCAGACUCCUACGGGAGGCAGCAGUAGGGAAUCUUCCGCAAUGGGCGAAAGCCUGACGGAGCAACGCCGCGUGAGUGAUGAAGGUCUUCGGAUCGUAAAACUCUGUUAUUAGGGAAGAACAAACGUGUAAGUAACUGUGCACGUCUUGACGGUACCUAAUCAGAAAGCCACGGCUAACUACGUG